This 433-nucleotide small RNA is filed under the name Arabidopsis thaliana (thale cress). Its description in RNAcentral is "ATSL198520". The record is from RNAcentral. Lineage: Eukaryota; Viridiplantae; Streptophyta; Magnoliopsida; Brassicales; Brassicaceae.
AAAGAAAUAUUUGAAAGAAAACUUUUAAAUUGAUUUGAAUUAAAUAUUUUUUAAAUUAAAGUAUUAUUAAAACAAAAAUCACAAAAUAAUGUCUAAUUUUACUGAACAGGGUUAGUGGUAGGACGGGUUUGGUCGACAGUAUUACGAGAUGGUAUACUACAAGUGAAAUCCAUUAGAUAUGUUUAAUUUCACUGUGCAUGAUUAGAUGGUAUGACGGGUUUUGAUCGAUAAUAAUACAAAACGAUAUACUACGGAUGAAAUCCUAGAUAUAACAAUUAAAAUCUAUAUAUACAUUAUCUUAAACACUAAACAAAGCAAACAAUAUUAAUAAAACAAAUAUCUACAUAUACAUUUUAUAUAACAAAUUUUAUUAAAAACCUAGCCCCGCGGUAUACCGCGGGUCAAAAUCUAGUUAGUUAUUAUAGCAACUGAU